This 537-nucleotide ribosomal RNA is filed under the name uncultured bacterium. RNAcentral's name for it is "bacterial SSU rRNA". It matches the Rfam family "Bacterial small subunit ribosomal RNA", at positions 8 to 523 of the family's 1533-position model. The record is from RNAcentral.
AGAGUUUGAUCCUGGCUCAGAACGAACGCUGGCGGCGUGCUUAACACAUGCAAGUCGAACGGGAUCCAGAGCUUGCUCUGGUGAGAGUGGCGCACGGGUGAGUAACGCGUGGAUAACCUGCCCUGGUAUCCGGAAUAACAUCUCGAAAGGGGUGCUAAUACCGGAUAAGCCUACGGAGCCCUCGGUCUCUGCAGGAAAAGGUGGCCUCUAUUUAUAAGCUACCGUAUCAGGAUGGGUCCGCGUACCAUUAGCUAGUUGGUGGGGUAAUGGCCUACCAAGGCGACGAUGGUUAGCUGGUCUGAGAGGAUGAUCAGCCACACUGGAACUGAGACACAGUCCAGACUCCUACGGGAGGCAGCAGUGGGGAAUUUUGCGCAAUGGGGGAAACCCUGACGCAGCAACGCCGCGUGAGUGAUGAAGGCUUUCGGGUCGUAAAGCUCUGUCAGAGGGGAAGAAAUGAGAUUGGCUAAUAUCCAAUUUUCUUGACGGUACCCUCAAAGGAAGCACCGGCUAACUCCGUGCCAGCAGCCGCGGUAA